RNAcentral lists this ribosomal RNA (253 nucleotides) under uncultured bacterium. Its description in RNAcentral is "partial 16S ribosomal RNA". It matches the Rfam family "Bacterial small subunit ribosomal RNA", at positions 524 to 776 of the family's 1533-position model. The record is from RNAcentral.
UACAGAGGUCUCAAGCGUUGUUCGGAAUCACUGGGCGUAAAGGGUGCGUAGGCUGCGGUGCAAGUCAGAUGUGAAAUCCCGGGGCUCAACCUCGGAAUUGCAUCCGAUACUGCAUUGCUUGAGGACUGGAGAGGAGUCUGGAAUUCAUGGUGGAGCAGUGAAAUGCGUAGAUAUCAUGAGGAACACUAGUGGCGUAGGCGAGACUCUGGACAGUUCCUGACGCUGAGGCACGAAGGCCAGGGGAGCAAACGGG